This 1035-nucleotide long non-coding RNA is filed under the name Anser brachyrhynchus (Pink-footed goose). RNAcentral describes it as "lncRNA (ENSABRG00000020156.1)". Lineage: Eukaryota; Metazoa; Chordata; Aves; Anseriformes; Anatidae. The record is from RNAcentral.
GACUUUUCUCUGUUUAUUCACUGGAGAAAUCAAUACUGAUAUAUCCACAGUGGGUUUAGGUGGGAUCUUGGGACUGGGUUCUGCUCUGCGUGCCUCUGCGCUGUGGUUGGGAAUCGCAUCAUUGUGGCAGGGAAAGGCUGAACCUCAUCCUCCUACCCAUGGGAGACACCUGCAGCACUCUGAGCCCCCCCCAGUCAUGUUCGUUUGCUGCAGAGGAUGAGAAAAAUCUGGAAGGAGUUGUGGGGAGGUUGCCAUGAGCUUGAGGAUCAGCAGAGCAGGGCGGAGGUGGGCUGGGAAGGAGACCUGCAUGUCAUUGUCACCUGCUUCCACUGUGACAGCACGGUGACAAACGGCUUUGUGACAUUCCCCUGCACUGCUCUGACAACCCAUCAGCAAGGUGCAAACAGCAAAGUGUUGCAUGAUAAGGGGCCUGGCAUAACGACUCAGGAGAAUGUGCAGCAACAUCCAUGACAUCGGUGAAGACAGACUAAGGAGACAUCCAACGUUUUGUCACUCAGGGGACAGUUUUCUGCAUGCCAUGACUGGCAGGUGUCUUGUAACAUGACAGGAGGUGGCAGAAGACCAGCUAUGAGACCUGACGUGCGUCAGUGCUGUACUCCUAACGGAGUCUCCAAGGGGAAUCCUAACAAAGUAGACUGCCAGAGACGCUCACCUGGUCCACAGCUUUGAUAGGAGCAAAAAGUCAUGGGAGAAUGGUGUGAGAAAACAGGUUAUGAACGGGCUGAACUUGCCCACAGGCCAUGGCGUGAGCACCCCUGAGCUGUGGAGAAAGCUCAAGUCCUGGAGCAUCAGCGUUUGUGUCUGAGUGAUACGGGCUGGCAGGCUGCACAGAUACCUCCAGCCCUGCCUUUUUGCACAUCCAGCUGCAAUCACAAGAAUCUGUAAACAGUCAAAAAAAAUACAAAAACAUGAUUUUUUUUUUCUUUCUACAAGCCACCUGCCGCCUGUCAAUGUGGAGCACAACCCUUUGUGUAGCAAGUCCAAUAAACAAAACCGUAAAGCAUCUGUCCUGCA